GACGAACGCUGGCGGCGUGGAUUAGGCAUGCAAGUCGAACGGUAUCAUCCUUUCGGGGGUGAGAGAGUGGCGAACUGGUGAGUAACACGUAGGUUAUCUACCCUCAAGACGGGGGACAACCCAGGGAAACUUGGGCUAAUACCGGAUGUGAGCAACUUUUAGUUGUUUGAAAGGUGGCGUAAGCUGUCGCUUGGGGAUGAGCCUGCGUCCUAUUAGUUAGUUGGUGAGGUAACGGCUCACCUAGGCAAUGAUAGGUAGGCGGCCUUAACGGGUGGUCGCCCACACUGGGAUUGAGAUACGGCCCAGACUCCUACGGGAGGCAGCAGUCGAGAAUAGUCUACAAUGGUCGGAAGACUGAUAGUGCGACGCCGCGUGAACGAUGAAUCCCUUCGGGGUGUAAAGUUCUUUUAUAUGUGAGCAGUGCUUCUUAUAUUAACAGUAUGGGGAGAGAGAUAUUAGCAUAUGAAUAAGCAACGGCUAACUCCGUGCCAGCAGCCGAGGUAAGACG
This 508-nucleotide ribosomal RNA is filed under the name uncultured bacterium. RNAcentral describes it as "bacterial SSU rRNA". It matches the Rfam family "Bacterial small subunit ribosomal RNA", at positions 28 to 527 of the family's 1533-position model. The record is from RNAcentral.